UACGUAGGGUGCAAGCGUUAAUCGGAAUUACUGGGCGUAAAGCGUGCGCAGGCGGUCCGUUAAGACAGAUGUGAAAUCCCCGGGCUUAACCUGGGAACUGCAUUGGUGACUGGCAGGCUUUGAGUGUGGCAGAGGGAGGUAGAAUUCCACGUGUAGCAGUGAAAUGCGUAGAGAUGUGGAGGAAUACCGAUGGCGAAGGCAGCCUCCUGGGCCAACACUGACGCUCAUGCACGAAAGCGUGGGGAGCAAACAGG
RNAcentral lists this ribosomal RNA (254 nucleotides) under uncultured bacterium. RNAcentral describes it as "partial 16S ribosomal RNA". It matches the Rfam family "Bacterial small subunit ribosomal RNA", at positions 524 to 776 of the family's 1533-position model. The record is from RNAcentral.